RNAcentral lists this ribosomal RNA (301 nucleotides) under uncultured bacterium. Its description in RNAcentral is "partial 16S ribosomal RNA". It matches the Rfam family "Bacterial small subunit ribosomal RNA", at positions 509 to 809 of the family's 1533-position model. The record is from RNAcentral.
CAGUCGCCACGGUAAUACAGAGGGUGCGAGCGUUAAUCGGAUUUACUGGGCGUAAAGCGUGCGUAGGCGGCUUUUUAAGUCGGAUGUGAAAUCCCUGAGCUUAACUUAGGAAUUGCAUUCGAUACUGGGAAGCUAGAGUAUGGGAGAGGAUGGUAGAAUUCCAGGUGUAGCGGUGAAAUGCGUAGAGAUCUGGAGGAAUACCGAUGGCGAAGGAAGCCAUCUGGCCUAAUACUGACGCUGAGGUACGAAAGCAUGGGGAGCAAACAGGAUUAGAUACCCCAGUAGUCCCUGUCUCUUAUAA